GACGAACGCUGGCGGCGUGCUUAACACAUGCAAGUCGAGCGGUAAGGCCCUUUCGGGGGUACACGAGCGGCGAACGGGUGAGUAACACGUGGGUGACCUGCCCUCAGCUCUGGGAUAAGCCUGGGAAACUGGGUCUAAUACCGGAUAUGACUCCAUGACGCAUGUUGUGGGGUGGAAAGCCUUGUGCGGCUGAGGAUGGGCCCGCGGCCUAUCAGCUUGUUGGUGGGGUGANGGCCUACCAAGGCGACGACGGGUAGCCGGCCUGAGAGGCGACCGGCACACUGGGACUGAGACACGGCCCAGACUCCUACGGGAGGCAGCAGUGGGGAAUCUUGCGCAAUGGGCGAAAGCCUGACGCAGCGACGCCGCGUGAGGG
RNAcentral lists this ribosomal RNA (376 nucleotides) under uncultured bacterium. Its description in RNAcentral is "bacterial SSU rRNA". It matches the Rfam family "Bacterial small subunit ribosomal RNA", at positions 28 to 407 of the family's 1533-position model. The record is from RNAcentral.